ACGUAGGGUGCGAGCGUUGUCCGGAUUUAUUGGGCGUAAAGGGCGCGUAGGCGGCUUGGCAAGUGGAAGGUGAAAUCCCUCGACUUAACCGAGGAACUGCCCUCCAAACUGCUUUGCUUGAGGCCGGGAGAGGUGAGUGGAAUUCCCAGUGUAGCGGUGAAAUGCGUAGAUAUUGGGAGGAACACCAGUGGCGAAGGCGGCUCACUGGACCGGUUCUGACGCUGAUGCGCGAAAGCGUGGGGAGCAAACGGGA
RNAcentral lists this ribosomal RNA (253 nucleotides) under uncultured prokaryote. RNAcentral's name for it is "partial 16S ribosomal RNA". It matches the Rfam family "Bacterial small subunit ribosomal RNA", at positions 525 to 777 of the family's 1533-position model. The record is from RNAcentral.